CUCAGGACAUCAAGUGAUUGUGGCGGUGAUGUGAAACUCCAAGACAAAGCUAGAACUUUGAGUUCUUUCAUCCCUGCAUAAACGUUGUUUGGAAGGCCUGGUGACCAACGAUCAUCCCCAAUUUGCAAGAGUUCAAGCUUCGGAUACUCCAAAUCAUUAAGCUGGUCACUGAUUUUUUCAUACAAAAGUGAAAUUGCAAUGCAAUGUUUGUACCCAUCUUUCUCUCGCCACUCAUUCAUUUUAGCCUCACUUUGUAACGUGUGCCAUUGCUUAUCUCUUGAGGCAAUUGAUAUGGCUACAUCGCGGACAAUAUCAUGCAUUUUGACAUAGUCAUGCCUAUAACCUUCAAGCAAUAAAAAUGAUUUUUUAAGUUUAUCAAUAAGAUUAUAGACCCUAGUUCUUGCAUGAUGCACUUUAUCAACAUUUUUAAACAACCGUAGGCCCAUUCCAUAUCUAACCAAAUCUUCAACCAGAAUAUCGAAAUCUUCAGGGAACAAACUACAAAGCAGAAAGCAUGACUUGGCCUCUUCGGCUUCCAAAAGCUUGUAACUUAAUUCAAUUCUGGAAAACACAUCUCUUGAUACACCUUGCAGGUUAGAAUUCUUUAGCUGUUGGAGCGUGUCAUCCCAUUUGUUUCGCCCUUUGUUUUUUAAUCCCUUUGCAAUAGUUACAAUAGCAAGAGGUAAGCCUCCACAUUCAUUUGCAAUCUCAGUUGCCGUGUGACGCAAAUCCUGGUCAAUGGAAAUGCCUGCCAUCUCUCUAAAAAGAUCCCAAGCUUCAUCCUUUGUUAAAACAUCCAUAGGGAAAUUCUUUUCACUUUCCAUUUUAUUGCAUUCAUCUAUGUUACGUGAAGUCAACAUAAUUUUGUGUCCCUUUCUCUCCUUUCUCUCUCUCCUUGAAGGAAGUCCUAUUUUUUCAAAAUCCAACUCGCUCCAAACAUCAUCCAUUAUUAUGAGGAUCCCCUUACCAUGGUUUAUAAGCCCCUGACGAAGCUCGCCUGCUCUUUUUAACUCAUUCUCAUCGUCCAAUUUCAAUUUCAGCCAAGAUGCAAUGUCACCUUGUAUCUUUUUGAUAUUAGGAUUUUCGGACACUACUGCCAUUCCAACCACAUCAAACAAAUUCUCUGUUUCAACUCUUUGCACAAGCUCUUUUACCAUCGUGGUUUUACCCACACCACCAGCUCCACAUAUACUGAUCAUGCUAAGGUUGUCAUCGUUCAAGGCCUCCCAGACUUCAUUUUUAAUUGAUUCCCUUGAUGUAAAAUCCAUAAUGCCUUUAGUAAUGAAAGCUGAUCCUAGGUUGAUACCGAACUCUUCAGUCUUUUUGAGCAGAUCAAGCACCGUCUCUGUCAUCUCUUUAGCUUUCUUGCUCAAGGAAUAACGUGACAUUGGAUCUGGACAGUUCGUGUUAAAACACUUGUUUUCAUUUUGAAAAAAUCCAUCGCCCUUCUUAAUGAUGUCAUCCACUUCCUUUUGCCAUCGAAUUAUUGAAUCAGCAGUGGGGCCAGCGUCCACGACAGUUUUCUUAUCUUCCAGGUUCUCAAGCUCAUCUUUCAGAUUCUUGAUGUUACGUUCGUAGCCAGUUAGGUAACCAAUAUGUCGGCUGAUUGGGGCCGCCAAGGCUUUAGGAAUUUCAACAGCAAUUGCACUUGCAACAGCAAUGAGAAUCUCCAUUUCUCUCGCUCUAUUUCUAGAAUAAUCAAGACAGAUACAAAAUCCAAAAAUGGAUUACUAACAAACUUGAAAACCAAGUAGGAUUGAGUUUUGUCUCUUAAAUAAAUAGAGCCCGUUGGAGCAGUAAUUUUCAAGAGAAACAAAAAUCAGCAGGCGUGAGCAUGAGAUGAGUAGCUAACAAGC
This 1856-nucleotide unclassified non-coding RNA is filed under the name Hevea brasiliensis (rubber tree). The record is from RNAcentral. Lineage: Eukaryota; Viridiplantae; Streptophyta; Magnoliopsida; Malpighiales; Euphorbiaceae.